Molecule: ribosomal RNA, 396 nt
Filed under: uncultured bacterium
Lineage: Bacteria
Description: partial 16S ribosomal RNA
Rfam family: Bacterial small subunit ribosomal RNA
Source: RNAcentral
UGGGGAAUAUUGCACAAUGGGCGCAAGCCUGAUGCAGCCAUGCCGCGUGUAUGAAGAAGGCCUUCGGGUUGUAAAGUACUUUCAGCGGGGAGGAAGGCGAUAAGGUUAAUAACCUUGUCGAUUGACGUUACCCGCAGAAGAAGCACCGGCUAACUCCGUGCCAGCAGCCGCGGUAAUACGGAGGGUGCAAGCGUUAAUCGGAAUUACUGGGCGUAAAGCGCACGCAGGCGGUCUGUCAAGUCGGAUGUGAAAUCCCCGGGCUCAACCUGGGAACUGCAUUCGAAACUGGCAGGCUAGAGUCUUGUAGAGGGGGGUAGAAUUCCAGGUGUAGCGGUGAAAUGCGUAGAGAUCUGGAGGAAUACCGGUGGCGAAGGCGGCCCCCUGGACAAAGACUGA